CGAGGGGAGUGAAAAAGAACCUGAAACCGUGUACGUACAAGCAGUGGGAGCACGCUUAGGCGUGUGACUGCGUACCUUUUGUAUAAUGGGUCAGCGACUUAUAUUCUGUAGCAAGGUUAACCGAAUAGGGGAGCCGAAGGGAAACCGAGUCUUAACUGGGCGUUAAGUUGCAGGGUAUAGACCCGAAACCCGGUGAUCUAGCCAUGGGCAGGUUGAAGGUUGGGUAACACUAACUGGAGGACCGAACCGACUAAUGUUGAAAAAUUAGCGGAUGACUUGUGGCUGGGGGUGAAAGGCCAAUCAAACCGGGAGAUAGCUGGUUCUCCCCGAAAGCUAUUUAGGUAGCGCCUCGUGAAUUCAUCUCCGGGGGUAGAGCACUGUUUCGGCAAGGGGGUCAUCCCGACUUACCAACCCGAUGCAAACUGCGAAUACCGGAGAAUGUUAUCACGGGAGACACACGGCGGGUGCUAACGUCCGUCGUGAAGAGGGAAACAACCCAGACCGCCAGCUAAGGUCCCAAAGUCAUGGUUAAGUGGGAAACGAUGUGGGAAGGCCCAGACAGCCAGGAUGUUGGCUUAGAAGCAGCCAUCAUUUAAAGAAAGCGUAAUAGCUCACUGGUCGAGUCGGCCUGCGCGGAAGAUGUAACGGGGCUAAACCAUGCACCGAAGCUGCGGCAGCGACGCUGAUGCGUUGUUGGGUAGGGGAGCGUUCUGUAAGCCUGCGAAGGUGUGCUGUGAGGCAUGCUGGAGGUAUCAGAAGUGCGAAUGCUGACAUAAGUAACGAUAAAGCGGGUGAAAAGCCCGCUCGCCGGAAGACCAAGGGUUCCUGUCCAACGUUAAUCGGGGCAGGGUGAGUCGACCCCU
Molecule: ribosomal RNA, 863 nt
Filed under: Escherichia coli
Lineage: Bacteria; Pseudomonadati; Pseudomonadota; Gammaproteobacteria; Enterobacterales; Enterobacteriaceae
Description: partial 23S ribosomal RNA
Rfam family: Bacterial large subunit ribosomal RNA
Source: RNAcentral